RNAcentral lists this ribosomal RNA (724 nucleotides) under uncultured fungus. RNAcentral's name for it is "SSU rRNA". It matches the Rfam family "Eukaryotic small subunit ribosomal RNA", at positions 331 to 1059 of the family's 1831-position model. Lineage: Eukaryota; Fungi. The record is from RNAcentral.
GGAUAGAGGCCUACCAUGGUGGUAACGGGUAACGGGGUGUUAGGGCACGACACCGGAGAGGGAGCCUGAGAAACGGCUACCACAUCCAAGGAUGGCAGCAGGCGCGCAAAUUACCCAAUCCCGACACGGGGAGGUAGUGACAAUAAAUAACAAUACGGGGUUCUUUCGGAUCUCGUAAUUGGAAUGAGUACAAUUUAAAUCUCUUAACGAGGAACAAUUGGAGGGCAAGUCUGGUGCCAGCAGCCGCGGUAAUUCCAGCUCCAAUAGCGUAUAUUAAAGUUGUUGCAGUUAAAAAGCUCGUAGUUGAAUUUCGGGAUUAGUAGGUUGGUCAUGCCUCUGGUAUGUACUGGUCUCACUGAUUCCUCUUUCCUUAUGAACCGUAAUGCCAUUAAUUUGGUGUUGCGGGGAAUUUGGACUGUUACUUUGAAAAAAUUAGAGUGUUUAAAGCAAGCUAACGCUUGAAUACAUUAGCAUGGAAUAAUGAAAUAGGACGUUCGAUCUUAUUUUGUUGGUUUCUAGGAUUGACGUAAUGAUUAAUAGGGAUAGUUGGGGGCAUUAGUAUUCAAUUGUCAGAGGUGAAAUUCUUGGAUUUAUUGAAGACUAACUACUGCGAAAGCAUUUGCCAAGGAUGUUUUCAUUAAUCAAGAACGAAAGUUAGGGGAUCGAAGACGAUCAGAUACCGUCGUAGUCUUAACCAUAAACUAUGCCGACUAGGGAUCGGAUG